Molecule: ribosomal RNA, 253 nt
Filed under: uncultured bacterium
Lineage: Bacteria
Description: partial 16S ribosomal RNA
Rfam family: Bacterial small subunit ribosomal RNA
Source: RNAcentral
GACGGAGGAUGCUAGCGUUGUUCGGAAUUACUGGGCGUAAAGCGCACGUAGGCGGCUUUGUAAGUUAGAGGUGAAAGCCUGGAGCUCAACUCCAGAAUUGCCUUUAAGACUGCAUCGCUCGAAUCCAGGAGAGGUGAGUGGAAUUCCGAGUGUAGAGGUGAAAUUCGUAGAUAUUCGGAAGAACACCAGUGGCGAAGGCGGCUCACUGGACUGGUAUUGACGCUGAGGUGCGAAAGCGUGGGGAGCAAACAGG